CUCCCAACUCUCCUUCACGGGGGCCCUGGCAUGGGGAGGAGGGGAGCGGCGGGGAGGCUGCAGGCCGAGGCCCAGCCCCUCUCUCAGCCUUGGCAGACAGGCGUUUCUGGACCGGGUCUCUGCUCCCACCAGCUGUGUCCGCUCUGCACCCCCUCAGGCCCAGCAGGCAGUGGGCAGCUCCAGAGGGAGUCCGUUUUCCAGUGCCACUGCCAAGAUGCACCGCAGAAGGCAGUCCUAGGACCCCGGCUCCAACGUCCUGCCCACCUCCUCUGCCCUCUGGGGUCUGCUGUCAAGAUGCUGACAGACGGGGCAGGGGGAACGCAGAAGAGCAGUCAGCCCCUGGGGGGACUCUCCUCCCCAUCCCUGCCCACUGAGCCAGCUCUGCCAACACCACCCACGCCUGCAGUCUGGGAUCCGCAGCCCCUCCGCAGGCCGGCAGAGGCUAGGGCAGUGGUGAGGACCCCGUCAGCAAGCUCUCUCCGCCACGUGCCGAACCCGUGUGUGGAUCAGUGAGUUCUGGGCUGGCAAGGCCUCUGAAGAGUCUCCUGGGCCCGGAGCUCCCCUCGAGACAGCAGGGGUUGCUGACAGAUACUGGGCCAGCAGGACCAGCCUAACAGGCACCUCCAGCUGGCGGGCCCCAUGCCGUGUGUCAGCCUCUGCGGCCCGCACUUCCCAGACGUCAUCCCAAAUGACUGGCUAAGCCCCGUGAGUAGAAACUAUUAUCCUUGUACCCCUUUUACAGGUGAGGGAACCGAGGCACAGAGAGGUUAAGUGAGUUGCCCACAGUCACCCAGAGAACGAGCCGCACGCAGUGCCCGCAUUUAAACCCUCAUGCUGACUCCAAGAGAAGGCGAAAGUGUCCAGCUCACCCGUACCGGAAGAGGAAAGGGGUGACAGGGGACAGCAGCCCAGAGCACCUCGGGAAGUGACUGGGGGCAGGGCCGGGACCAGGUCAGGCAAGCGAGGAGCACGAGGAGAUGGAGCUUAACCCUCCCUGCCCUUGCGUGUGGGCUGGACUCAGUGACUCGGGUCUAAAGAAUAGAGUAUGGAAACAGCAAAGCAGUAGCUGCACAGUGGAGAAGGCUGCCAGACACCACCGUAACCAAGUGAUCCGGUGCACAUCCGUCACCAGGACAUCAUGCUGAUGUCGGGAACACCCCCAUGGACGUCAUGUAGAUCUCAUGAACGUCCUCAGGGGGGGUCACGUGGACGUCAUGAACAUCCCCAGGGACGUCAUGGGGAUGUCGUGAACUCCCUGAUCAGAAGGGAUGAGAGGGCACUUCAUCUCCCAUCCCAUUCCCCCAAAACCUGUAACCCCAGACUAAUCAUGAGAAAAACACCAGACAAACCCACAUCCAGGGAUGUUUGACAAAUACCUUCGGGGACCUACAAAUACAAGGACUCUUCAACACUGUCAAGGUCAUGAAAAAUAAGGAAAGACUGAGAAAUGGCCAUAGACAGAGGAGACUCAUAACUGAAUGCAAUGUGGCCCCCUGAACUGGAUCUUAGAACGGAAAAAGGAUAAACAGUGGAAAAAACAAAUUCUGGAGUUUAGUUAAUAGUCAUGCUCCCCUGUUAAUUUCGUAGUUUUGACAAAGGUACCACAGCAAACAGUUGUAUAAGAUAUUAACAUCGGGGAAGGUGGGGGAAAGGCACACAGGAACUCUCCGUGUCGUCUUUGCAACUUUUCUAUAAAUCUAAAACUACGGCAAAAUGAAAAGUCUAUUUAGAAAAGCAUUUCCUCCUAAUUAAUAAAGGAACACAUGUUCACCAUAGAUAAUUCAUAAUAUAAACAAAUAAGAAACCGGCAGUUGCUUACGUCGACUCUGUUAACAUUCCAGGGCAUUUCAAUGCAGUCUUUUUUCCUGUGCACGUUUGGAACAAUUGAGAACAGGUUAUAAUCACCAUUUUGUACUCUGCUGGGUACGAGCACACUCCUUCAGCAUGCAAGGAUUUG
This 1957-nucleotide long non-coding RNA is filed under the name Equus asinus (donkey). RNAcentral's name for it is "lncRNA (ENSEASG00005031853.1)". The record is from RNAcentral. Lineage: Eukaryota; Metazoa; Chordata; Mammalia; Perissodactyla; Equidae.